Alosa alosa (allis shad) is the source of this 1179-nucleotide long non-coding RNA. RefSeq lists it as uncharacterized. The record is from RefSeq and is a predicted model, not a curated record. Lineage: Eukaryota; Metazoa; Chordata; Actinopteri; Clupeiformes; Clupeidae. The transcript is spliced from 4 exons.
UUGGGGGAUGUCAUGGGAGUGUCAUGCCUAGACAAUUAUCAAAAAUCAAAAAUCCGAAUGGGUGCUAGAAGCCAUGAGUCUGGUCAAAUGAGUCUGGUCAAGUUUAAAUUCAGUUUUAAAUUCAAAUUCAUCAAGAUUUUCAUCAAGUCAUUGAAAAGAAUAGAAUGUAUCAGACAGUAGAACGGUGGAGAGAGGGUAGGGGCUGGGUCAAAGGUCUGUAUGCGUGGUUGCGUGCGUGUAUGUAUGUGUGUCUAAGAGAGGGGGAGAGAGAGAGAGGAGGGGGUUUGUUUGACUGUAUGUAUGCUUCAAGUUUUAGUGAUAUGAACCUGAAUAAAAGAAUCAAGGAUGUGAUGAUGCCAAGAGUCUAAAAAGGUUUCAGCCAUGUUUCUGUGAACUAAAAUAAAAAAUAAAUCCUACUUGUAAGUUCAAGUACAAGUAAGGUUCAGCGUCAUGCAUGUCUAAUGCCAUGGCUCCAGGGCCCUGAGGGGGUAGGUGGCGUGCAUGCUUGAGAGUGAGAAAGAGAGAAGUUGGAAUGUUUAGUUAUGUUUAUGUUUUUAGGAUGAUUAAACUGAAUGUGAAUGAACUGAAUGAUCUGAUCCUGUCAAGAACCUUCUUUCAUAUAUAUUUCUGUGAGCUAGAAUAAAACAUAUCAUAAAUGUAAUGUUCUGGGUAAGCGUGUCUAAUACCUAAGCUGGUGUGCCUUAUGACUUAGAACAAUGCAUCUUUUUUGCCAAAAUUUGGGAUGGGGGUGCGAAAUGAGGUAUAAAACUCGGACAUAGGCAAAACUGACAUCAUCUAUCACCGUGAAUCGCCAUACAGCAAAGGCAUUUGUGAAGAGAUUCAUCAUGGCAGAGCGACCUGACCAGGCAAGUAUGUAAAUUGUAGUUUUUCAUUUUUCUACUAUAUCGUUGCAUUAUCCCUGAUUUAAUACAUGUUUUUUUUGUUUGUGUUGUUAGUAUGAGUUGGAAUAUCUACGUUUCCUGCAAAUCUGAAGUACCUCAUCUGACAGCGGCCUUGGCACUGACAACUACAGCCCGGCAUCUCCGAGCCAAAGCUUUUAAUCCGAAAAUUCCGAGGUUGUCCAGAGGGGUCGGGCGAAUUCUCCAAGCCUGAGCUUGUACCAAGACUCUGAUGCAGAGCUGUACCGACCAACUUCCCCUCACGAAAGUAUGCACGAAG